This is a microRNA precursor of Gorilla gorilla gorilla (western lowland gorilla), 51 nucleotides long. The record is from Ensembl. NCBI's taxonomy places the organism in Eukaryota, Metazoa, Chordata, Mammalia, Primates, Hominidae.
ACAGACCCCGGGGAGCCCGGCGGUGAAGCUCCUGGUAUCCUGGGUGUCUGA